UUCCGUUCUCUCUCCAUCUCUGCUCUCUCCCUCCCCGCUGUCGCCGCCAACUCCCCUUCCCCCUCUCUGCCGGCGCUCCUCCUGCUCUCCUCCGCCGCCACCGCACCCGCAGGAUCCACGCCGCCCAUCUCCCCAACCCCUCCUCUCUCUCUCUACUCCGGCGGCGCCUCCUCUCUUUUCUCUCUCCCGGCGCCUUUUUCCCGGUGGCGUCUCUCUUCGCCCCUCACCCCUCCGCGCGCCACGGGCCGGCGUGGAACCGGCCGACCAGCUCGCAGCGCGGCCGGUAGCGGCAGCGCGCGGGAGACAGAGGCGCUGUCGGCCGCGCCACGCUUGCCUCCUAACCUAUGCCGCACGGCCUCCCCUCUGCCCUCCAUCGUCGGCAAAGGACAAGAAGCCGAGCUGAGCCGGUGGGCUCGCCGCUCUCGGCCGGCCGUACCUCCAUCGCCUCUCCCCGAUGGCGCUCCUCUGCUCUCCGGUCUCCACCGCCGCCUGCUCCCGCGGGAUCCAGAUCUGGCGCAGGGCGCCGCUCGGAGGGAGGGGGCAUGGGCAGCAUCCUGGGCACACGACGCCAACGAUUCCCUACUUGUCCCGCUCCUCCGACCAUGACGAGCUCCAAGACGCCUCCGCGCCGCCGCUACCACCACAGCACCCGCCACCCCCUCCGGUUACACCACGCCGCCCCCCGCACACCUCCUCAACGGGCUGACGAUGGCUUCGAUGCGCGGGCGGCGCUUGAGCGCGAGCACCGCCGUAGGUCGGACGGUGCGUAGCCGCAUCUGGUGAACAUGCAGUUCCAAAAGACGGUGCGCAGCCGCAUCUGGUGAACAUCCAGUUCCAGAAGAAGGUGCAGUUGGAGGUGCUUGCUUCACUUGUUGCGCUCUACUUGGAUUUCAAGCUCGGCUAGAGCUACACGCUGAGCAAGAUCUCCAUCUGGCCUGGGGAUGGCUUCCACAACCUCGAGCUUCGGAGGGAGAGGAUAGCUGAGAGGAUGAAGGUACGCGUUUGUUGCAGCUCUAGAGGGAGAGGAUAGCUGACAGGGUGAAGGUGUUGCAGGAGUUGGUCCCUAACGCCAACAAGCCUGGAGCGGCAGGCAGGCAAGGCAACAGGGGCACAAUACGUUGGGUUGGUCCUGGCUGGUGGCCAGAGGGCGGCGUUGGCAACAUGCUCCUGGUCGAGCUCGAGCUCCCGCCAACACACUGGAUAUGAGACACCUAUGAUGAGAUAGUGUACCCACAUUGUUCAAAUAUUAGCAUAUUAAUGAUGUAUGUAUUACCAUGUGCUAUGAUUUUGUGUUGAAUUUAUCAUAUACCAUGCACACCAUUUGCCAUUUCAUUACCUUUGGUUUACUUA
Molecule: long non-coding RNA, 1350 nt
Organism: Panicum virgatum (switchgrass)
Lineage: Eukaryota; Viridiplantae; Streptophyta; Magnoliopsida; Poales; Poaceae
Exons: 4
Source: RefSeq, a predicted model, not a curated record